ACAGUUCAAGUUCGAAUGUCCU
Molecule: small nuclear RNA, 22 nt
Filed under: Arabidopsis thaliana (thale cress)
Lineage: Eukaryota; Viridiplantae; Streptophyta; Magnoliopsida; Brassicales; Brassicaceae
Description: snRNA_07184
Source: RNAcentral